AUCAAUCUUGUUCUGGUCAGUCAAAACUCCCUCUUUCUCGAAUAAAUCAUGUAACAAGAAGUUUACACGAAAACCAUGUCGACAGCAGUUCUCCAUCUAUGCUUCUACAUCAUUUUCUUUUAAAAAACAUAUGCUUCUACAUAGGACAAAAAUAUAGAUGGUCAACUCGAGUUUCAACUGAGAAAUGUGGUCCAGCAGUUGAUGAUAGACAUCAGGUAUUUGUAAUCUUGUGUGUAGUUUUGGGCCGCUGACCAGAUCUUAUCUGGUUCUUCAGCAACAACCUGUCAUGGGUCAUGACCUCAUGGGCAUGAACAAACUGUCAGACUAGAUAUCUCCAUCUCAGGGGCCGCUCUACAUGUUUCAUUUCAAUAGGAUGCAAUCAUCAAUAACUCAUAAUUAUUAGUGUGCACAGUACCUCACAACACAAAUAGAAUUGGACCUAAUUCGUGCAUGCCUAUUGUCUUUGCCACUAAAACAGGUGAGUAUGGGAGCAUACUAUGAUGUCUCCAAGCAUACCCAAGACAAGAGACCUGCUAAUAUCGUCCCCAACAAGUGGCAAACAGAUGGCCCCAGAGAAAUCUAAUCAAGAUCACACUGCCUGCCCUUGCACUUACGGCAUUAAUAUUGCAUGUUUUGAGCUCAUGGCUCUGUCCCUUGCCAACCUGUCAGGAUAGCUGCACCUAAACUGCAUUGUUCUCUUCUCUUCCUUCCCCCUCAUCUGUAUAAAUUCAUCAGCUUAGCACCACCAUCACCUCAUCAGUUCAUCCAGAAAGCGCAAGCUAAAGCGGCACCACUACACCUAGUCAAGAACGGAGGAGGAGCAAAACAAAACAUGGUUAGUGCCAAGAGACUUUCUCAGAUGGCAAAGAAGUGGCAGAAAAUAGCGGGAAUUGGGAGGAAGAGGCUCACCCGGACCACGACAGCGGCGAAAGAAGCAGCCAAUGACGAGUGCUGCACCACAUCGUUGUCAGUGGUGAUGAAGGGUCACUGUGUGGUGUACACGGCAGACAGGGCGUGGUUCAAGGUGCCGCCUUGGUAUGUUAUAGGAAUUGCAGGCGUGGAAUAAGUUGUAAAUUACCUGCAGCUCAGGGGUGAGCGCCUUGAAAUGUACAGUGUUGAUGCUCCAAAUUCCAUCGUGAUCCAUAGAAACCUAAACGAUCCAUUGAAAUGUAGUACGAAGAUAGUGGCAGCGAGUGCUCUCCUGUAGUCACAUCACAUCAAAGCCCAAUUAGUGACUCGGAAUUUGUGGUAACCGUUGGUCCAACAAAGACACUGCGUACCUUCCUCCGUUCUUCCACACCAGCAGACUAAUCUUUCAAACAGUAAAACUGAUUGCUACCUACAGUAGUCUAGGCCCCAGCCUUCUUGACUGUUGAUUUUUUCCAAUGACAACAAUUAAGGGAAGCACGGUGGAAAUUUCCUCCCCUGCUCGUGUUGCAAAGGUUGCCUCAGCUUGACGCCCACACACACACACACACCAGGCAGAACAGAACAAUACAAUGGCCACAACUACGCGACCCUCCUCACACAGCUGCCUCUUCCUCAUCCUAGCUGCAGCCUCCACCAUAGUCACCGUGCUCUCUGCCCAUGCGAGUGAUAUACCCAACGGAGGGUGCAUCGCCGCCGAGAGGGCCGCGCUGCUCUCCUUCAAAGCCGGCGUCACUAGCGACCCAGCUAAUCGCAUCGUCUCAUGGCACGGCCAUGACUGCUGCCACUGGAGCGGUGUAAGGUGCAACAACUGGACUGGCCACGUCAUCAAGCUGGACCUGCGCAAUGAUUUCUCCGCGAAGGAUUUCAUUGGUUUUCCCAAAGCUCGUUCUCGUUCGAUGCGGGGACAGGUAUCUUCUUCAUUGCUUGCUCUCCAACACCUCAAGCAUCUAGAUCUUAGCGGGAACUUUCUCGGAGGUGAAUGGAUGCCUAUACCAGAUUUCAUGGGUUCUCUCGAGAGAUUGGUAUACCUCAACCUCUCCAACAUGAAUUUCUGUGGCAGAGUGCCUCCUCAGCUAGGCAACCUCUCCAAACUGGUACACCUUGACAUAAGCCAUAAUUCUUGUCUGUACAGCCUACACUCCAUGGAUAUAUCUUGGUUAGCACGUCUCUACUCACUGGAGCAUCUUGAUAUGGGCUCUGUGGACCUUAAAGCAGCGACUGACUGGGUUCAUUCGCUGAACGCUCUUCCCAGUUUGGUUGUACUGAAUCUCGAUUGGUGUAACCUUCAAAAUAACACUCCGUCACUUGUACACUACAACCUUACAGUUCUUGAGGAACUUGACCUUUCCUAUAACUCUUUAGAUAGCCUUGCUGCAUCAAACUGGUUUUGGGGUGUAACUAGCCUCAAAAGGCUAAUCCUAUUAGAAUGUGGAUUAUCAGGUUCAUUUCCUAAUGUGUUGCGAAACUUGACCUUGUUAGAGACCCUUGACCUGGGAUUUAAUAAUAUCAACCGGAUGAUACCGGUAACAAUGGAAAAUAUGUGUAAAUUGAAGUCUCUAGGCCUCAGCUACAAUAACAUCGGUGGGGACAUAUCAGACUUAAUGGAGAGGUUUCCGAAUUGUUCUUUGAAGAUUUUGCAAGAGUUUUAUUUGUCGGAGGCAAACGUCACCGGCACGACAUUAAAUUCUUUGCUAAACCUAACCAGCAUAAGAACAAUUCAUGCCGGUGAUAACCACUUGAGCAGUCCCUUGCCUGUGGAGAUUGCCACACUGACAAAUUUGACAGAAUUGUUGCUUGGUGGCAACAACUUGAGUGGUGUGAUAUCAGAAGAUCAUUUCGCUGGUCUUACAAACUUGAAGAUACUUGACUUGUCUUGCCCUAAUUUGAAGGUCGCCAUGGACUCGGGCUGGAAAACACCAUUCAGGUUGGAUAUUGCAUGGUUUGGAUCUUGUCAGUUGGGUCCCGGAUUUCCUCAAUGGCUUCGAGGGCAAAAUGGCAUUUCAGACCUUGACAUUUCAAACACGGGUCUAAUUACUAGGAUUCCACAUUGGUUUUGGACAACCUUUUGUGGCGCGGAACAUUUGGACAUGUCCUCAAACCAACUUAGCGGCAACUUACCCAUCAACUUGGAGUUCAUGUCAGUGAUAACACUUUAUCUGCACUCAAAUUGUCUAACUGGUUUGGUACCGAAAUUGCCAAGAACAAUUGAAGUAUUGGACAUCUCUAGAAACUCCUUAAAUGGGUUCGUGUCGUCAAAUUUGGAAGCUCCACAUUUACAGGUUGCGGUUGUCUUUUCAAAUUCUAUGACCGGCACUAUUCCAACCUCGAUUUGUCAAUGGCCACAACUGCGGAUCUUAGAUCUUUCAAACAAUCAGCUUGUAGGGGAACUUCCUGAUUGUGGCAGAAAGGAGCUAAAGCAAUGUAAAGCAUCUAGCAAGAACUCUUCAAAUGUCAGUUCCACAUGUUCAUCUAGUUUGCGAAUAACUAUCCUCCUUGUAAGCAACAACAGUCUUUCAGGUGGAUUUCCUUUAUUCCUGAGGAAAUGCCGAGGUUUGCGUUUCCUCGAUCUAAGUCGAAACAAAUUCAGUGGAAACCUACCUACACGGAUUGGUGAAGACAUGCCUUUGUUGGUAAUGCUACGGUUAAGAUCAAACAACUUUUCUGGUCACAUUCCAUAUCAGAUAACGGAACUUCCUGCUCUUCGUAUUUUAGAUCUAUCUAACAACAACUUUUCUGGUGUAAUACCACAAUCUCUGGAUGACCUCAAAGCUUUGAGUGGCACUGCUAAGGCCUUAGAUCCAGAUUGGGACAGUCCUUUCGAUGAAAUAUCUGAAAACGAGGGUGUGUCCACUCUUGAGAGACAGUCCGAUGAUAGCUUAUCAGUGGUAAUAAAAGGGCAAGUGCUUGACUACAAGGAGAAUACCGUAUAUCUGAUGAGCAUUGAUUUAUCAUGCAACAGUUUAACUGGAGAAAUUCCAGAGGAACUAAGCUCUCUUAUUGGUCUCAUAAAUCUGAAUUUAUCAUCAAACUUGUUGAGUGGAAUUAUCCCCGAUAAGAUUGGUGAUCUUCAAUCACUCGAGUCUCUUGACCUUUCGAAGAAUAAGCUUGCUGGUGAAAUUCCUUGGGGCUUAUCAGAUUUGACAUAUUUGAGCUAUCUAAAUUUGUCAUAUAAUAAUCUCUCAGGAAGAGUGCCCACGGGGCAUCAACUUGACAUCCUCAAUGCAGAUGAUCCAACUCUUUGUGGAUAUCCGACUCCAAGGCAAUGUCCUGGCCCUCCUGAAGACGAACCAACCCACGGAGAUUCUGUAAGAUGGCACAAAGGGGGUCUAUCUCCAACGGAUUUACUUCUUGGGUUAAUUGUGGGAUUUGUGGCAGGCGUUUGGAUGGUAUUUUGUGGACUUCUGUUCAUGAAGAGAUGGAGACAUGCUUAUUUCGUGCUGUUUGACGAGCUAUAUGACAAGGUGUAUGUCAACUUUGUUGUUACUUGGGGAAAAUGGUUCAGAAACACGGGUGGAGAAUAAGCUAGAACCGGAAAGGAUGUUGUGCCAUACAAAGAUAUUGUUACCCGGAUAUGGGGGUGAAGGACUUGGUGCUAUAUUUAUGUACUAUCUGCUAUCACUUUGUUAUUUAGAAUAGUAAAGUAUAAAGUUAAUGUAUCUCGUUGUUCCAUACCCAUAGUGGAAUGCUGCUUUUCAUAUUUUUAGUUACAGAAUUAUUUAGAUUUCUUAUGUGAAACAGUAAAUGCAUGAGGUUACGCCUAAGUAGAUGUUUGGAUCAUGAGAUAUAUGAAUCAAUUUGUGAACAUGUUUUUAUUACUUUCACUAAAGUAGAUUCUGUUCGCACGCGAACACGUCACAUGUACCCUCGACGCCGGGGGUGAUGCACCUCAGCUCACGUCGAAGGAGAUCUGACCGGCAGCACGAUACGCAGGACAGCCGGAUACCUCGGAUUUCAACACCUCAAAAUUUUGUGACCUUGGAUCUUAUAUGACCUUAGAUUGCAUACGUCCUAGAAUUGCAUAGGACCUCGGAUUGCAAGGGACCUCAGAUUGCCCGAUGGAAAUUUUCAACCUGAUCUUCGCAUAUGACAUUGGAUUGAGAUGAUUUACAUAUCAAAAUCAAUCGGCUCGACGAGACGAAGGCAUUUCAUGCAGAAAACUCUUUCAGCCAAGGUCAUCUUGAAGGGAUAAUCAGCCGAACAGUACUCCAAAACCCUGAAUCUCAAUACUCCGAGCUCAGCUUCGGCCCCUAAGAUAUGGUCGGAUGACAAUGACCUAAACAUAAAAGUCGUUCACUUCAACAACACGGAACUUUUUCAUGUUGAAAAAUCUUUCAUUCGAGGCCAUCUUAAUUAUGUUUACUGUUGUGACAAAAACUGGCGUCAACAGGUUCUAAAGUUUCCAAUUUGGUUAUAUCAUAAAUUAGUGAAUGUUUUUUGGAUAAACAAGACUAGGUGUGUGUAUGUGUUGUAGCCAUUCUUGCCUUCUACAAUCCAUUUUGUUUCCUUCGUUACUCCCCGUAUGUGUAUGUGUUAUAGACAUCCCUGCCUUCUCCAAUCCAUUUGGUUCCCUUCGUUAGUUCCCCGUCUAGUUCAUAGCUAACGAACACAUAGUAAAAAAGUUCUUAUGGCUGAAGGAUUGUGCUUUUGUGUUCUGCAUCACAUUGUCAAGAUAAUGUUUGUUGUGUUAGGAUUUUGUACCUCCCAAUCUCAUGUUAGUCAUGUGGUUAGAGCUAUAUGAGUAAUUACAAAGGUAUGUGAGUUAUGUCUUCGGUGAAUUUCCUCAGAAGCAUGUAAGGUGUUUGAUGAACCGGCCCAAAAUAUCUUUACUUCAGAAAGUAAAGCACAUCCUAGCACGGAGCUGUGCGUGCGAUGGCUAACUCAUCACGCACGAGUCAGAAAAGUAAAACCGAUGUCUUGCACAGGUUCACCAGACCUACGUUGUGCGAUGAAGGGAACCAUCGCACACAAUUUGAUUUACUAAAUCAUGCACGGUUUAACAAAACAAUUAAGAGAUACACCGAAUAACCAUGAAAACCAUAAUGCGUACCUAGAGGAGACCAAGGGAGAGGAUUAGUUAUAUAUUGUACCUAUGGCUGUGGAGUUUGGACCGAAUUGCUUAGGGGUUCACCCUAUCAAAUUAACACAUGAACCACCACCCCAAGCAAUUGAACCACCAAUUCUAUCAUUUUUGCCUCAAAAAGAUAAUAAAAACCAAUUAUAUCAUUUGCUUGCCCCUUGCGUAGCUAGGCUUCUCUCGGUGUCCACCUUCUUGGGCCUUAGCAAUCAAUUUGCUUAGUUCCCCUACAAAGUGGGGAAUCUUCACUGCCUCAAAAAUACAAAAGCAAUGAGAUAUGUUUUAUGUGACAUGGGAGGAGUCCGUUAAGAGAGACCUGAAGGAUUGAAGUAUCACCAAAGAACUAGCUAUGGACAGGGGUGCAUGGAAGCUUGAUAUCCAUGUGCCAGAGCCAUGAGUUGAUCGCGAGAUUUUAUGGGUUUCACCUCUAGCCUACCCCAACUUAUUUAGGACUAAAGGCUUUGUUGUUGUUGUUGUUGUUGUUGUUGUUGUAAUGAGAUAUGUUUUACGAAUAGAUAAGUAACAAUUUGGACGAAUGUACUUCUAUAUGUCAUUUGACCAGUAGGAUCAAGGGCACUGCAGUAAUGUUACAACUGAGAUUGCUAACUGACGGGCGCUGGAGACGCACGGGUACCCGUGACAGCAACCUCCGUGUAUGCACCCAAACCAAAAUCCAUAAAAGAAACUGCAUACCAGUUCACAUUGCCCAUGCCCAAGAGAAAUGGGGUAUGGUCCGAGACAGCAACCUCAGUAAAUAUUGAUUUCAUGUAAGUUUUGUUUAAUGAUGCAGAGGCACGUUUGUUUCGUCAGGAAAUGGGUUGUCAGUGUCUCUGACUUGUUUCGUGUCACUGUUUGGUUAGACACUUAGACUUGGACAUAACAAUUCAGAAGAACUAUAAGAUCAAAUGAUCCAGAAAAGGAAUUACCUCUGUCUAAGAAUGAUGGGCCACAUUUCCUUCUGGACAUGUUCUUGUUGAGCUUUCUGCAUAUCAUCCCUCCUGUUCUAGGCAGUCAAAACUUCAAAAUAUAAAACUGUAAGAAAAUCCCUAACUUGUCAUUACCAGUUCACUGAUCAUCAUCUAGUCAAUACUCAGUAAUAAUUAGUUGCAUUGGAUAUCACUAAUCAAGGAGACCAUCAAAUAAAGGAAGAUUUUCGAUCAAGCAAGUUGCUCAACAAUGAUUUGUGAUGGGAAUGAAGUCAUCAACAACUGUCAGACUAGAUAUCUCCAUCUCAGGGGCCACUCUAUAUAGGACUUCUUUUAAGGGACCACUACAUAUUGUACUUCUUAUCAUUAUGAUAUUACCAAGCACCCAAAAAUAAUAAUUAGUUGGUAUCUCAUUGCACAAUCACAAACAGAUCAUGACACAAUCUACACAUGGUCCCCACAUUCCGUUAUAUGCUUCUUAGGUUGCCACUAAAACAGGUGAGUAUGGCAGCAUACUGUAUUGUCCAAGCAUGCCCAAAAGCAUCGUCCCCAACAAGUGGCAAACAGAUGGCCCCAGAGAAUCUAAUCAAGAUCACACUACUUGCCCUUGCACUUACAGCAUUGCAUGCUCUGAGCUCAUGGCUUCCCAACUUGUCAUGAUAGCUGGACCUAAACUGCAUUGUUCUCUUUCCUUUAUCCCUCACCUAUAAAUUCAUCAGCUUAGCACCACCAUCACUUGAGUUCAUCCAGAAAGUACAAGCUAAAGCAGCACCACUACACCUAGCCAAGAAAGGAGGAGCAAAACAAAACAUGG
Molecule: long non-coding RNA, 7744 nt
Filed under: Triticum aestivum (bread wheat)
Lineage: Eukaryota; Viridiplantae; Streptophyta; Magnoliopsida; Poales; Poaceae
Description: long non-coding RNA (TAES_LNC007719)
Source: RNAcentral